Cricetulus griseus (Chinese hamster) is the source of this 291-nucleotide non-coding RNA. Lineage: Eukaryota; Metazoa; Chordata; Mammalia; Rodentia; Cricetidae. The record is from Rfam.
GGAUGUGAGGGCCAUCUGGCUGCGACAUCUCUCACCCCAUCGAUCGCCAGGGUUGAUGCGGCUGAUCUGGCUGGCUAGGCGGGGGUGUCCUUCCUCCCUCACUGCCCCACGUGCGUCCCUCCAGAAGCUGAGCACUGUGUGGAAGAGGGCGACCUUCCCCGAAUAGACGAGGACUGGUCUUUGGUCAAGGGUGUAUGAGUAGCUGCUCUGCCCUGCUAGAACCUCCAAACAGGCUCUCAAGCAAUGUGGAGGUGAAUAAACCCUUUCCUCCCCAAUUUGCUUUUGGUCGUG